RNAcentral lists this ribosomal RNA (497 nucleotides) under uncultured bacterium. RNAcentral describes it as "partial 16S ribosomal RNA". It matches the Rfam family "Bacterial small subunit ribosomal RNA", at positions 28 to 507 of the family's 1533-position model. The record is from RNAcentral.
GACGAACGCUGGCGGCGUGCUUAACACAUGCAAGUCGAACGGUGAAGCGCCUUCCUUUUUGGUGGGUGUGGAUGAGUGGCGAACGGGUGAGUAACACGUGAGUAACCUGCCCCCUUCUUCUGGAUAACCGCAUGAAAGUGUGGCUAAUACGGGAUAUUCUGGGUCUGUCGCAUGAUGGGUCUGGGAAAGAUUUUGUUUCGGUGGGGGAUGGGCUCGCGGCCUAUCAGCUUGUUGGUGGGGUGAUGGCCUACCAAGGCGGUGACGGGUAGCCGGCCUGAGAGGGUGGGCGGCCGGACUGGAAGGGAGAGACGGCCCAGCCUCCUACGGGAGGCAGCAGUAGGGAGUGAUGCGCAAAGGGCGGGAGCCGGCCGGAGCAACGCCGCGUGAGUGAGGAAGGGCGUCGGUUCGUUUAGAACUGUUAUUCGGGAAGAAAAAAUGUCUACGUAAGUGUGGGGGGGUUGACGGUACCUAAUAAGAAAGCCCCGGCUAAAUACGUG